GAGGUCCCAAGCGUUGUUCGGAUUCACUGGGCGUAAAGGGUGCGUAGGUGGCGGGGUAAGCCGGAUGUGAAAUCUCCGAGCUCAACUCGGAAAUGGCAUUGGAAACUACCUUGCUCGAGGGUUGGAGGGGGGACUGGAAUACUUGGUGUAGCAGUGAAAUGCGUAGAUAUCAAGUGGAACACCAGUGGCGAAGGCGAGUCCCUGGACAACUCCUGACACUGAGGCACGAAAGCUAGGGGAGCAAACAGGAUUAGAUACCCUGGUAGUCCUAGCUGUAAACGGUGCACGUUUGCUGUAAAAGGAAUCGACCCCUUUUGUGGCGUAGCUAACGCGUUAAACGUGCCGCCUGGGAAGUACGGUCGCAAGAUUAAAACUCAAAGAAAUUGACGGGGGCCUGCACAAGCGGUGGAGUAUGUGGCUCAAUUCGAUGCAACGCGAAGAACCUUACCUGGCCUUGACAUGCAAGUAGUAGAAGGGUGAAAGCCUGACGAGGUAGCAAUACCAGCUUGCACAGGUGCUGCAUGGCUGUCGUCAGCUCGUGUCGUGAGAUGUGGGGUUAAGUCCCGCAACGAGCGCAACCCCUGUGUCCUGUUGCCACUCCUACGAGAGUAGGGAGCACUCUGNACAGCCUGCCUCGCUUAAACGAGGAGGAAGGUGGGGAUGACGUCAAGUCAGUAUGGCCCUUACGACCAGGGGUGCACACGCCCUACAAUGCCCGGUACAAAGGNAAGCGAGACCGCAAGGUGGAGCAAAUCCCCCAAAACCGG
This 767-nucleotide ribosomal RNA is filed under the name uncultured Verrucomicrobia EV109. Its description in RNAcentral is "bacterial SSU rRNA". It matches the Rfam family "Bacterial small subunit ribosomal RNA", at positions 528 to 1285 of the family's 1533-position model. Lineage: Bacteria; Pseudomonadati; Verrucomicrobiota. The record is from RNAcentral.